GUCUGCUCUCAAGUAAAACAGCUCAGCCACUUUUCUGUGGAGGAAAAGCAGAAUGAAAUAGUUUUGCUUUAUCUGUCAAUUUGCGUUUAUUUACAAAUUGAAAUGGAAUAAAAUAAAGAUGUUCACAGCCUGAUAAAUGAGGAUGCGUGCACAUGUUUGCAGAUUGAAACCCUCUGAUGCUCUCUUUUUGUGGGGAGGGAAUUCAGAAGUACAGGCGUAUGUACAACAGAAUGAGCGCUAAGUUUCUGCCCACUCCACAUUCUUCAUUGUUUUAUCUGCAGACAGAGAUGCUUUUGGUACUGCUUUGAUCAGACAGAUCAUAUCUAAUAAAAUAUUCUCUUUUUUUCUCAGACGCUUGAACCUUGGGAUUCCCUUUUCCUUGAAUCAGGAUCUUCAAAAUGGUUACGCUGUGAUAUGAAGAAGUCUGAUUUCUCAGAUACUAACUCAUAAAUAUUAACAUUCUCAGAGUCUCUCUAGAAUAAUUUAGAAAAAUAAUUAUGUCCAUCCUUAUGAAAUUUCCUAGGUGAUGAGAAUGGAAGUGAUAAAUGGAGACCACAAAAAGAAUUACCUUUUGGAAGUCAAGUUCACCUGUGGUUACUGUACAUGUACUGUGUCGUCUUGUGUCAGCAAAACCAGCUGUUGUCAGGGUACUGCAGGGUGGGGUGCAUGAGCUCACAAAGAAGGCUGUCAGAUAGGAUUUACUGGGAAGUGGGUCUGUGCAAUGAUCUUUAUGAAAUUAGAAAGAACAACCAUCCCAAAGCUCAGCAAAGCCCUGUGUCUGAGCACAGUGUGACUGCCAUCCCUGUGGACAGGCAGCCCCUGUCCAAACAUGUGGGGAAACCUCCAGCUCUUUGCAGUCAGAUGAAUGCGGAGGGCUCUUCAAACAUGAAAUUCCUAAGUGCUUUUGGUUUGCUACUGGAAAGUGACCCCUUGAGACAAAGUUAAUCUUAUUUCAGGAACUGUGCCCACAAAACAGGGAGAUGACUGUUACGUUCCAGCUUUGGGGUAUUUUCACUUUCCUGGGAUAUUCUUCCCAGAUGAGACUGCACUGUAUUGCCUCAGAUCUAUGCCAGAAGGAAUUACAGAUGUUUCAGAGGAAGCGUGCAGAAACCAUGCAGCUGAAACAGAAUAAAUUAUGCUUAAAAUCAAGGAAAUGUCCUAAU
Molecule: long non-coding RNA, 1163 nt
Filed under: Numida meleagris (helmeted guineafowl)
Lineage: Eukaryota; Metazoa; Chordata; Aves; Galliformes; Numididae
Description: lncRNA (ENSNMEG00000011250.1)
Source: RNAcentral